AUCCCGUGGUGAGGCCAUUUGCGUAGAAACUCUUUAAAUCUUUCCCAUGCCUUGUAUAAGAAUUCAUCAUCCAAUUGCUGAAAUAUAGUGAUCUCAUUCCGCAACU
This is a non-coding RNA of Gossypium raimondii (Peruvian cotton), 106 nucleotides long. The record is from Rfam. NCBI's taxonomy places the organism in Eukaryota, Viridiplantae, Streptophyta, Magnoliopsida, Malvales, Malvaceae.